RNAcentral lists this ribosomal RNA (250 nucleotides) under uncultured bacterium. RNAcentral describes it as "partial 16S ribosomal RNA". It matches the Rfam family "Bacterial small subunit ribosomal RNA", at positions 8 to 237 of the family's 1533-position model. The record is from RNAcentral.
AGAGUUUGAUCCUGGCUCAGGACGAACGCUGGCGGCGUGCCUAACACAUGCAAGUCGAACGAGAAUCUUUGGAAUGAUUCUUUCGGGAUGAAUUCUAAAGAGGAAAGUGGCGGACGGGCGAGUAACGCGUGAGUAACCUGCCCAUAAGAGGGGGAUAAUCCAUGGAAACGUGGACUAAUACCGCAUAUUGUAGUUAAGUUGCAUGACUUGAUUAUAGAAAGUAUUUAUCGCUUAUGGAUGGACUCGCGUA